Solanum lycopersicum (tomato) is the source of this 532-nucleotide long non-coding RNA. RefSeq lists it as uncharacterized. The record is from RefSeq and is a predicted model, not a curated record. NCBI's taxonomy places the organism in Eukaryota, Viridiplantae, Streptophyta, Magnoliopsida, Solanales, Solanaceae.
AAUUAACCCUUUAACUUUUAAUUUUACCUAUUCUCUACUCUAAACACGUGGGAUAAUUGUGUCCAUAUUUCCAAGAUCCCUUUUACUGAUCAAAAGCUUGCAACCCCAAAUCUCAAAUCCCUCUUUAACAGUGGCGGUAAUCUUUUCAAAUUUUCUUUGUUUCAAUUUCAUCCUUCAUCAGUGUUAGUCAUUUCUCGUACUGAUCAAAAACUUGCAAUCCCACAUUUCAAAUCUCUCUUAAACAGUGGCGGUGUAUGCACAGGUGGAAGCUAGAGCUUACAGGUUGACGUUGCCACUAUUCGGACGUGGAGCUUUCAUCCGAACUUGUUAGGCCCUCAUGCUUUCGAGGAUUCUACCGUUAUUAUCUAGCUUAGAUGUAGGCUUUAGCUAGUGGAGCAUGUUCCACUAGUGUUUCUUUCCACUUUCAUUUCGUACUUUGUAUUGGUGUCGUUUUGGCAAAAGUACGUUUAACGCAAUUAUGAACUAUUUUUUUCAUUUGAUUAUCACUAUAUUAGAUGGUUGAUUUGUGAAA